AUUGAACGCUGGCGGCAGGCCUAACACAUGCAAGUCGAACGAGUGGCGGACGGGUGUGUAAUGUCUGGGAAACUGCCCGAUGGAGGGGGAUAACUACUGGAAACGGUAGCUAAUACCGCAUACCAUCGGAUGUGCCCAGAUGGGAUUAGCUAGUAGGUGGGGUAACGGCUCACCUAGGCGACGAUCCCUAGCUGGUCUGAGAGGAUGACCAGCCACACUGGAACUGAGACACGGUCAAGACUCCUACGGGAGGAAGCAGUGGGGAAUAGUGGACAAUGGGCGAAAGCCUGAUGCAGCCAUGCCGCGUGUAUGAAGAAGGCCUUCGGGUUGUAAAGUACUUUCAGCGGGGAGGCGUUACCCGCAGAAGAAGCACCGGCUAACUCCGUGCCAGCAGCCGCGGUAAUAC
This 406-nucleotide ribosomal RNA is filed under the name uncultured bacterium. RNAcentral's name for it is "partial 16S ribosomal RNA". It matches the Rfam family "Bacterial small subunit ribosomal RNA", at positions 30 to 526 of the family's 1533-position model. The record is from RNAcentral.